GGCGGCAGGCCUAACACAUGCAAGUCGAGCGCAGUCCUUCGGGACCGAGCGGCGGACGGGUUAGUAACGCGUGGGAACAUACCCUUUUCUACGGAAUAGCCUCGGGAAACUGAGAGUAAUACCGUAUAAGCCCUUCGGGGGAAAGAUUUAUCGGGAAAGGAUUGGCCCGCGUUAGAUUAGAUAGUUGGUGGGGUAAUGGCCUACCAAGUCUACGAUCUAUAGCUGGUUUUAGAGGAUGAUCAGCAACACUGGGACUGAGACACGGCCCAGACUCCUACGGGAGGCAGCAGUGGGGAAUCUUAGACAAUGGGCGCAAGCCUGAUCUAGCCAUGCCGCGUGUGUGAUGAAGGUCUUAGGAUCGUAAAGCACUUUCGCCAGGGAUGAUAAUGACAGUACCUGGUAAAGAAACCCCGGCUAACUCCGUGCCAGCAGCCGCGGUAAUACGGAGGGGGUUAGCGUUGUUCGGAAUUACUGGGCGUAAAGCGUACGUAGGCGGAUCAGAAAGUAGGGGGUGAAAUCCCAGGGCUCAACCCUGGAACUGCCUCCUAAACUCCUGGUCUUGAGUUCGAGAGAGGUGAGUGGAAUUCCAAGUGUAGAGGUGAAAUUCGUAGAUAUUUGGAGGAACACCAGUGGCGAAGGCGGCUCACUGGCUCGAUACUGACGCUGAGGUACGAAAGUGUGGGGAGCAAACAGGAUUAGAUACCCUGGUAGUCCACACCGUAAACGAUGAAUGCCAGUCGUCGGGCAGUAUACUGUUCGGUGACACACCUAACGGAUUAAGCAUCCG
This 787-nucleotide ribosomal RNA is filed under the name uncultured Sulfitobacter sp. Its description in RNAcentral is "bacterial SSU rRNA". It matches the Rfam family "Bacterial small subunit ribosomal RNA", at positions 38 to 871 of the family's 1533-position model. The record is from RNAcentral. Lineage: Bacteria; Pseudomonadati; Pseudomonadota; Alphaproteobacteria; Rhodobacterales; Roseobacteraceae.